RNAcentral lists this long non-coding RNA (342 nucleotides) under Pelobates cultripes (western spadefoot toad). The record is from RNAcentral. Lineage: Eukaryota; Metazoa; Chordata; Amphibia; Anura; Pelobatidae.
CAGAAAUCACAUUUAUGGGCACACAACUACACACUCUGUCUCCCUCCUAGGAAACACGGAUAGACACAAUAUAAAAGCAAUCUUAAACUAACACCUCCAAAUCUCCAACUAUUCUUGGCCAAAACGCUAGUAUUCAACAACUAAUAAAACAGUUAUUUGCUAGGUUAUUUGGCUGUCAUUCUUAUCAGUAUCACUAGACUGUGACAAACUGAUUCACAUAUAAUUUAAAACAAUACAGCAACAUAAAUUAAACCACUUUCAAGUUAAAUUGCACACUGAUCACACAUUAUCACAAUCACCAUUUACACAGAAUAAACAGUUAACAGCUGUAUUCAGAACAUA